ACCAAGUAUACGAUCUAUAGCUGGUUUUAGAGGAUGAUCAGCNACACUGGGACUGAGACACGGCCCAGACUCCUACGGGAGGCAGCAGUGGGGAAUCUUAGACAAUGGGCGCAAGCCUGAUCUAGCCAUGCCGCGUGUGUGAUGAAGGUCUUAGGAUCGUAAAGCACUUUCGCCAGGGAUGAUAAUGACAGUACCUGGUA
RNAcentral lists this ribosomal RNA (200 nucleotides) under uncultured bacterium KC412. RNAcentral's name for it is "partial 16S rRNA". It matches the Rfam family "Bacterial small subunit ribosomal RNA", at positions 267 to 484 of the family's 1533-position model. Lineage: Bacteria; Pseudomonadati; Pseudomonadota; Alphaproteobacteria. The record is from RNAcentral.